UGGGGAAUAUUGGACAAUGGGCGAAAGCCUGAUCCAGCCAUGCCGCGUGAGUGAUGAAGGCCUUAGGGUUGUAAAGCUCUUUUGGCGGGGACGAUAAUGACGGUACCCGCAGAAUAAGUCCCGGCUAACUUCGUG
RNAcentral lists this ribosomal RNA (135 nucleotides) under uncultured bacterium. Its description in RNAcentral is "partial 16S ribosomal RNA". It matches the Rfam family "Bacterial small subunit ribosomal RNA", at positions 355 to 507 of the family's 1533-position model. The record is from RNAcentral.